ACGACCACAGCUCGAAGAGAACACGGGAUCCCGUCCGCUCUCCCAUAGUUAAGCUUCGAAGCGCUGGAUUAGUAGUUGGGUCGGUGACGACCAGCGAAUCCCCGGUGUUGUAUGUU
RNAcentral lists this ribosomal RNA (116 nucleotides) under Fusarium acuminatum CS5907. Lineage: Eukaryota; Fungi; Ascomycota; Sordariomycetes; Hypocreales; Nectriaceae. The record is from RNAcentral.